CGUGAGUAACCUGCCUUACACAAGGGGAUAGCCUCUGGAAACGGAGAAUAAUACCCUAUGACAUUACAGCCUCGCAUGAAGCAGUAAUCAAAGUGUUUAGCGGUGUAAGAUGGACUUGCGUCUGAUUAGCUAGUUGGUGAGAUAACAGCUCACCAAGGCAACGAUCAGUAGCCGGCUUGAGAGAGUGUACGGCCACAUUGGGACUGAGAUACGGCCCAG
This 219-nucleotide ribosomal RNA is filed under the name uncultured Eubacteriales bacterium. Its description in RNAcentral is "uncultured Clostridiales bacterium partial 16S ribosomal RNA". It matches the Rfam family "Bacterial small subunit ribosomal RNA", at positions 116 to 334 of the family's 1533-position model. Lineage: Bacteria; Bacillati; Bacillota; Clostridia; Eubacteriales. The record is from RNAcentral.